GCGAAUUCCAACCGAGGGACAGAACCAAACUGGAUGAAUCCUACACGCACCUGAAUGGGGCAGCGGUGUACUGAGAAUGAAUGCUGCCCAAUCAAAGGAGCCAUCCAUGAGGAAGAGGAUGUCCAUGGCUGCAGAGCACUGCAUCACUUCCAGGAGAACGAUACAAUUACACAAAGGGCAAUUUUCAGCUCUGUGGAAAGCCGUUCCGGAGUGAAACAUGUCUGCACUAGCCCCAAAGAAUCACAACCGCCGGUGUUGUACUCAGAAUUGAUCUUCAGGAUGUUGUCACGGCUGGUUUGGAUUUCCUGCACAGAGUUACCCUGCUGAACUAAGAGAGAG
Long non-coding RNA from Phyllopteryx taeniolatus (common seadragon), 339 nucleotides. RefSeq lists it as uncharacterized. The transcript has 3 exons. The record is from RefSeq and is a predicted model, not a curated record. NCBI's taxonomy places the organism in Eukaryota, Metazoa, Chordata, Actinopteri, Syngnathiformes, Syngnathidae.